AAGAGAGCAGGAGCUCUGGGCUACAAUCUGGUAUGUGAGUUAAUCAGGAGUCUCAGCUGAUAAGGCAUGGGUGGGAGUGAGGGGAGAGAGGGGAUUUUUCUGUCUGGCUGCAGUGAGGUGCCUGCAGGUGGGCUGCAGAGGGGGAGCACCCAGCCCCUUCCACAGAUAACUCGGCCCAGAUUUACAUAGGUGUUGGAUGUCACAGCUGCAUGUCCCAGUGGCAGCAAAAGGCACCCGGGAGUGCUCAGUGCUGGCUGAAAAACGACACUGUUCGGAUUUCAAAUUUACCACUGCAAAUUAGAGGAGUGGAAAGUAUGAGACAAUCCUCACUACACCAGGAACCCUUCUUUGUGAAGUCAGAUAUGCUGUUUUUCAUUAGGAGCUGAUGAAUGUAAAGCCAAGAUUUUCCCUGAGAAUCUGGAAGUGAAGCUGAAAUCACUUCAGUGAAAAGUGAGCCAGCAUGAUUGAGCAACCAUCAGAUAUGUGAGCCUCGUUCCCUGGCCCGCCAUCCCCAGCUGUGUUUCAGAGUGGGCAAUGUAUGUGCCCAAACCUGGAAGGUGAUUUCAGGUAUGAAGCCUGUUCCCAGGGAGCCCAGGGCCCUGUGAAAUGGGCAUUUUCAGGUACCAAAAGAACAACCUUCUCACACUGAUUCAGGAUGAACUAAUCACUGAAGAACUUGCAAAAGACAUAUGGGACUAUAAAUUCAUAAGCAUUUCUGACUCCAUCAAGUAGG
Molecule: long non-coding RNA, 733 nt
Organism: Prinia subflava (tawny-flanked prinia)
Lineage: Eukaryota; Metazoa; Chordata; Aves; Passeriformes; Cisticolidae
Exons: 6
Source: RefSeq, a predicted model, not a curated record